AACGAACGCUGGCGGCAGGCUUAACACAUGCAAGUCGAGCGCCCCGCAAGGGGAGCGGCAGACGGGUGAGUAACGCGUGGGAAUCUACCGUACCCUACGGAAUAACGCAUGGAAACGUGUGCUAAUACCGUAUACGCCCUUAGGGGGAAAGAUUUAUCGGGGUAUGAUGAGCCCGCGUUGGAUUAGCUAGUUGGUGGGGUAAAGGCCUACCAAGCGACGAUCCAUAGCUGGUCUGAGAGGAUGAUCAGCCACAUUGGGACUGAGACACGGCCCAAACUCCUACGGGGAGGCAGCAGUGGGGAAUAUUGGACAAUGGGCGCAAGCCUGAUCCAGCCAUGCCGCGUGAGUGAUGAAGGCCUUAGGUUGUAAAGCUCUUUCACCGAUGAAGAUAAUGACGGUAGUCG
This 404-nucleotide ribosomal RNA is filed under the name uncultured Rhizobium sp. Its description in RNAcentral is "bacterial SSU rRNA". It matches the Rfam family "Bacterial small subunit ribosomal RNA", at positions 29 to 481 of the family's 1533-position model. Lineage: Bacteria; Pseudomonadati; Pseudomonadota; Alphaproteobacteria; Hyphomicrobiales; Rhizobiaceae. The record is from RNAcentral.